AGCUUGCUGCUUCGCUGACGAGUGGCGGACGGGUGAGUAAUGUCUGGGAAACUGCCUGAUGGAGGGGGAUAACUACUGGAAACGGUAGCUAAUACCGCAUAACGUCGCAAGACCAAAGAGGGGGACCUUCGGGCCUCUUGCCAUCGGAUGUGCCCAGAUGGGAUUAGCUAGUAGGUGGGGUAACGGCUCACCUAGGCGACGAUCCCUAGCUGGUCUGAGAGGAUGACCAGCCACACUGGAACUGAGACACGGUCCAGACUCCUACGGGAGGCAGCAGUGGGGAAUAUUGCACAAUGGGCGCAAGCCUGAUGCAGCCAUGCCGCGUGUAUGAAGAAGGCCUUCGGGUUGUAAAGUACU
Molecule: ribosomal RNA, 357 nt
Filed under: Escherichia coli
Lineage: Bacteria; Pseudomonadati; Pseudomonadota; Gammaproteobacteria; Enterobacterales; Enterobacteriaceae
Description: bacterial SSU rRNA
Rfam family: Bacterial small subunit ribosomal RNA
Source: RNAcentral